This 705-nucleotide long non-coding RNA is filed under the name Sinocyclocheilus grahami. Its description in RNAcentral is "lncRNA (ENSSGRG00000032244.1)". Lineage: Eukaryota; Metazoa; Chordata; Actinopteri; Cypriniformes; Cyprinidae. The record is from RNAcentral.
AUAAUUAUCUUUAUCAUUGCUGUUCUGUGCCUCUCUGGGAUAGUAGUUUAUUGUUGCCUUAAAAAGAAAUCCAGGAAGUACUCUGUGGAAUUACAUCCCAAACAAGAAGAUGCUCAGAUCCCACUCAGCACAGUGGAUGUAGAGGUGUUUGACACCACAUCAGUCAAAGAUAUGCAAACAUUCACUCCUGUCGAGUCCACCAAGCCUGCGCCUGUGAAAGAAUCUGAGAAGCCUGAGGAAGGGAAAGAAUCAGCUGAUGUUAAACAAGAAAACCAACAGAAUUUAUCCAGCACUCAGGCCACAGAGAACCCAAAGGAUAAAAUAGAGGGGCUGACUGUAGUGGAUCUGACUGAUGGAGAACGGACAAUCUCCACUAAAACCUCAAUGGAAUCCCUAGAUGAUGUUCUCAAUGAAAACAACAGCAACAAUACAAGAGUUGAAGAUCUCUGAACCUGACUGAUGGGUUAUUUUAAACUGGAAGUAACAGCUGAAAUAAAUUGUAAACUAUGUGAGUCACUGUUAGAACAACGUUGUUUGAAUAUACAUACAGCACUAAGAAAAGUCUGUAAAAACAGGGCCCAGUAUAUUGUGUUAAUGUAAAGAAAUGUUCUGUAUAAAUUCUCACUAGUGUUUCACUCAUAUUUUAAAAUGCAUUGUGUUGUUUUAUGGUUAAAGGAAAUAUGCAUAAAUUUAAUGGAGUACAAC